This 532-nucleotide long non-coding RNA is filed under the name Salvia miltiorrhiza (redroot sage). RNAcentral's name for it is "long non-coding RNA (SMIL_LNC012273)". The record is from RNAcentral. Lineage: Eukaryota; Viridiplantae; Streptophyta; Magnoliopsida; Lamiales; Lamiaceae.
AAAUGAUUAAAAUUUGUGAAUUUUUUUUUUGGAUCAGAGAAAAAUUUUAUAAAGAAAAACCAUGGUACCAGGGAUACCUAAAAGUUAAUACAAUAAGAAGAGAGAAGGAUUCAGAGCACCAAGAGGGGAAGCUCGAAUCCUUUGCAACAAUACCAAAAGAUUUAUUCCAACUCCAGAUCCUUCCUUUUAUUUCCAACAACAGAUUCUGAACAUCCCAGCCUUCCCUUCAAAUAUGCUCUUGUUACGUCGUUUCCAAAGGAGCCACGCCGUGCAAAUCCAAACCGCCUUAAGCAUGUUACCGCUCUUCUUUCCUUUUCCUAAAUGUAUGAACCAAUUGUAGUGCUGCUCAAUCUUCAUGGGUCUCGUUGAACAAAUACCAAUCCACUUAUGGAUUUCAUCCCACACUCGUUGAGCUUUCGGACAAAGCAAGAACAAGUGAUCUGCUGUCUCUUCACUAGCAACACACCCAUUACAUCAAGACUCCUCAACUGUCACCGCCACGUUUCUCUUAAUCAAAUUAUCACACGUUGCU